This 253-nucleotide ribosomal RNA is filed under the name uncultured bacterium. Its description in RNAcentral is "partial 16S ribosomal RNA". It matches the Rfam family "Bacterial small subunit ribosomal RNA", at positions 524 to 776 of the family's 1533-position model. The record is from RNAcentral.
UACGAAGGGGGCUAGCGUUGUUCGGAAUUACUGGGCGUAAAGGGCGCGUAGGCGGUACUUCAAGUCAGGCGUGAAAGCCCCGGGCUCAACCUGGGAACCGCGCUUGAGACUGGAGAACUAGAGUUCGGGAGAGGAUGGUGGAAUUCCCAGUGUAGAGGUGAAGUUCGUAGAUAUUGGGAAGAACACCGAUGGCGAAGGCAGCCAUCUGGACCGACACUGACGCUGAGGCGCGAAAGCGUGGGGAGCAAACAGG